Long non-coding RNA from Limanda limanda (common dab), 621 nucleotides. RefSeq lists it as uncharacterized. NCBI's taxonomy places the organism in Eukaryota, Metazoa, Chordata, Actinopteri, Pleuronectiformes, Pleuronectidae. The record is from RefSeq and is a predicted model, not a curated record. The transcript is spliced from 3 exons.
CGGGUCCUCCUCCCGGGGACAUCGCACUCCGGGCUCCGUCCUUCUCUGCCUCUCUGUCCCCGAAGGCUGGCGAGGAAAAAAAAAAACCCCACGUCGCGUCUGGCCCGGCAGACAGCGAACACCCUUUUCCACCGAUUCUUGUUUGUUCUCUGCCUGCCCCCCCCCCCUCUCCUCCUAGCAGCAGCAGCGGCGCAACAAAAGCGGAUUAUUCGCGAUGUUUUCGGCGUGGUGUAGAACCCGCGGAGAGAUACUGGUUCUCAGCCCAUUGCACCGGAGGACCGGCCGUGCCCGGUGAGGAAUGAGAAACGGCGGAACACGGUGCGGCGGGCAACGUGUUGUGCAUUCUUCAGCAGGAGCACACCGUGGGUGUGAAUGACUUGUGGCUGUAGGCUGUCGUGAGUGGGCCCGGUUCCUACACACAGCCUCCGUGGCUGACUGGGGGGGGAGAGCAGACAUCAGUGCCCAGGGGACCAUAGGCCUGGUUCUCCACAUGAGGCCCUGCUGAAAGGGCAGGGGGGCUUCUGAGUGUGCCCGAGGGCCGUUGAAAGCCCCCUUGGGGGAGUUUCAUAAAUACACCCCGAACAAGAAAAGACUCCUGGACUACUGUUAUUGUUUUUACAC